Molecule: ribosomal RNA, 465 nt
Filed under: uncultured bacterium
Lineage: Bacteria
Description: bacterial SSU rRNA
Rfam family: Bacterial small subunit ribosomal RNA
Source: RNAcentral
CCUACGGGUCGCACCAGUGGGGAAUAUUGGACAAUGGGCGAAAGCCUGAUCCAGCAAUGCCGCGUGUGUGAAGAAGGUCUUCGGAUUGUAAAGCACUUUUAUCAGGAACGAAAUACCACGGGUUAGUACCCUAUGGGGCUGACGGUACCUGAGGAAUAAGCACCGGCUAACUUCGUGCCAGCAGCCGCGGUAAUACGAAGGGCGCAAGCGUUAAUCGGAAUUACUGGGCGUAAAGCGUGCGUAGGCGGUUUGUUAAGUCUGCUGUGAAAACCCUGGGCUCAACCAGGGAAUGGCAGUGGAAACUGGCGAGCUAGAGUGUGAUAGAGGAUGGUGGAAUUCCCGGUGUAGCGGUGAAAUGCGCAGAGAUCGGGAGGAACAUCAGUGGCGAAGGCGGCCAUCUGGAUCGACACUGACGCUGAGGCACGAAAGCGUGGGGAGCAAACAGGAUUAGAUACCCUGGUAGUC